Molecule: ribosomal RNA, 329 nt
Filed under: bacterium ocnta3lb505onp10.8
Lineage: Bacteria
Description: bacterial SSU rRNA
Rfam family: Bacterial small subunit ribosomal RNA
Source: RNAcentral
UACACAUGCAGUCGAACGAUGACUUUUGUGCUUGCACGAAUGAUUAGUGGCGAACGGGUGAGUAACACGUGAGUAACCUGCCCUUGACUUCGGGAUAAGCCUGGGAAACUGGGUCUAAUACCGGAUAUGCACCGUGGACCGCAUGUUCUUGGUGGAAAGAUUUUUUGGUCAGGGAUGGACUCGCGGCCUAUCAGCUUGUUGGUGAGGUAAUGGCUCACCAAGGCGACGACGGGUAGCCGGCCUGAGAGGNUGACCGGCCACACUGGGACUGAGACACGGCCCAGACUCCUACGGGAGGCAGCAGUGGGGAAUAUUGCACAAUGGGCGAA